Molecule: unclassified non-coding RNA, 324 nt
Organism: Propithecus coquereli (Coquerel's sifaka)
Lineage: Eukaryota; Metazoa; Chordata; Mammalia; Primates; Indriidae
Gene: 7SK
Rfam family: 7SK RNA
About the family: 7SK was discovered as an abundant small nuclear RNA in the mid-70s but a possible function has only recently been suggested.
Source: Ensembl
GGAUGUUAGGGCAAUCCGGCUGUGAUAUCUGUCACCCCAUUGAUCACCAGAGUUAAUUAUGAUGAUCCGGAUGGCUAGGUGGAUGUCCCUUUCCUCCCUCAUUCUUCCGUGUGUAUCCCUCCUGAAGCUGCAGACUCAAUGGAAGAGGAUGACCUUCCCCAAUAGAGGAAGACUUUCCUUAGGUAAAGGUUAUACCAGUAGCUGCUCUCCCCUCCUAGAACCUCCAAACAAGCUCCCAAGGUCCAUUUAUAGGAGAAUGUAGGAUAGUCAAGCUUCUGAGACUCCAGACACAUCCAAAUGAGGUGUUGAAUGUGGCCUUUCUAA